AAAAAAGCUCACAACUCAUCGUAUGAAGCAAGAAGACUGAGUGAGGAAAAAUUGCCAAUUUUCUUUCACCAGAUAUUGAUGAUGGUUUUUUUGAAGGUUGAAAGAAGGAAAUGGAAAAGCAGAGAACUGAUUUUUGGCUUUGGUGUUUUCUUUCAGCUCACACGACAGGAGGAAAAGAUUGAUGCUUCCCUUGAGGUUCUUAUCUUAUCCUUGCUAAUGAUGAAUUGGGGGAUGCUCUCACAUAUGAGGAAGUCGCUUUGGUUAAACCAAUCUAGGAGCUGGAACAGGUAGCAAAGAGAUUGAUGUAUGAAGCAUACCAAAGACGUUGUGCAGUGUCAAGGAGAUUCCUCUCACAUUAGAUGUGGAAGCACCCUUCCUCCGCUUGAUGCUAAGGUUUGGUUUUCUACAAGAGUGGAAGAUGAAGUGCAAUAAAAUCAAGUGGUUCACAAUGAUAGAAAAUCAUAGUGUUGUGCUAUUGAAGGUUAUGUAAACAAAUUCAUUAGAAUGUGAAUAUGUACUACAUACUAUCACCUUCUAACAUAGAGCUAUAUCUGAAAGCUUAGUUUUUACAGUGGUUGAAUUUAGCUAGAAAACAUGCCUUGUUUGAUUUUUUAAAGAAACAUUGGCUAAAGUCAACUAUGAUUACAAGGUAUGCAUAGUGCUUGGUAGUGGAUGUGUAACUAUAUUUGGUAGUGAUACUUUGUCAAGGUGUUUUAAAUUUCAUCAAUGAUCGGCUAGAAUCCUGUUUUCUUCUUC
This is a long non-coding RNA of Quercus robur (English oak), 756 nucleotides long. RefSeq lists it as uncharacterized. The transcript has 3 exons. The record is from RefSeq and is a predicted model, not a curated record. NCBI's taxonomy places the organism in Eukaryota, Viridiplantae, Streptophyta, Magnoliopsida, Fagales, Fagaceae.